RNAcentral lists this ribosomal RNA (1228 nucleotides) under metagenome. RNAcentral describes it as "bacterial SSU rRNA". It matches the Rfam family "Bacterial small subunit ribosomal RNA", at positions 267 to 1520 of the family's 1533-position model. The record is from RNAcentral.
ACCAAGGCAACGAUCGGUAGCCGGACUGAGAGGUUGAACGGCCACAUUGGGACUGAGACACGGCCCAGACUCCUACGGGAGGCAGCAGUGGGGAAUAUUGCACAAUGGGGGAAACCCUGAUGCAGCGACGCCGCGUGGAGGAAGAAGGUCUUCGGAUUGUAAACUCCUGUUGUUGAGGAAGAUAAUGACGGUACUCAACAAGGAAGUGACGGCUAACUACGUGCCAGCAGCCGCGGUAAAACGUAGGUCACAAGCGUUGUCCGGAAUUACUGGGUGUAAAGGGAGCGCAGGCGGGAAGACAAGUUGGAAGUGAAAUCUAUGGGCUCAACCCAUAAACUGCUUUCAAAACUGUUUUUCUUGAGUAGUGCAGAGGUAGGCGGAAUUCCCGGUGUAGCGGUGGAAUGCGUAGAUAUCGGGAGGAACACCAGUGGCGAAGGCGGCCUACUGGGCACCAACUGACGCUGAGGCUCGAAAGUGUGGGUAGCAAACAGGAUUAGAUACCCUGGUAGUCCACACCGUAAACGAUGAUUACUAGGUGUUGGAGGAUUGACCCCUUCAGUGCCGCAGUUAACACAAUAAGUAAUCCACCUGGGGAGUACGACCGCAAGGUUGAAACUCAAAGGAAUUGACGGGGGCCCGCACAAGCAGUGGAGUAUGUGGUUUAAUUCGACGCAACGCGAAGAACCUUACCAAGUCUUGACAUCCUGCGACGCACAUAGAAAUAUGUGUUUCCUUCGGGACGCAGAGACAGGUGGUGCAUGGUUGUCGUCAGCUCGUGUCGUGAGAUGUUGGGUUAAGUCCCGCAACGAGCGCAACCCUUACUGUCAGUUACUACGCAAGAGGACUCUGGCAGGACUGCCGUUGACAAAACGGAGGAAGGUGGGGAUGACGUCAAAUCAUCAUGCCCUUUAUGACUUGGGCUACACACGUACUACAAUGGCGUUAAACAAAGAGAAGCAAGACUGCGAGGUGGAGCAAAACUCAGAAACAACGUCCCAGUUCGGACUGCAGGCUGCAACUCGCCUGCACGAAGUCGGAAUUGCUAGUAAUCGUGGAUCAGCAUGCCACGGUGAAUACGUUCCCGGGCCUUGUACACACCGCCCGUCACACCAUGAGAGCCGGGGGGACCCGAAGUCGGUAGUCUAACCGCAAGGAGGACGCCGCCGAAGGUAAAACUGGUGAUUGGGGUGAAGUCGUAACAAGGUAGCCGUACUAGUACGUAAAGGUG